CCGACCUCGCGCUCGUGGGGGGUGGGGGGAGGGGGCGGUCAAAAUUUUCCCCCUUCUUCUACUCUUUUUUCUCUUUCCCUUUUCUUCCCAAUCUCGCGUAAUUUAUAUAUCCACCACACGGGAAAACGAUGAUGAUGCUUUAGGAAUAGUGGGCAGAGGAAUUCGGGGCCUCUCUGGUGAUGAUGUCUCCAAGGAGGCCUUCUUCUUCUCCUUCUUCCCGGUGCUUGCUUCUUGGAUUUAUUUUGCUGCUGGUCCUGCUGGCGUUGAGCACGUCGGCGCGGGCCACUGGGGUGUUCAAGGUGCGGCGUAAGUUCGUCGGUCGCAGGCCCACCGUCGGCGAUCUCCACGCCCACGAUAGCCGCCGGCACAGCCGGAUCCUAUCCGCCGUCGAUCUCCCCCUCGGCGGCCUCGGCCUCCCCACCGAUACCGGGCUGUAUUUCGCGGAGAUUGGGAUCGGGAUGCCGUCCAAAAAGUACUACGUGCAGGUCGACACGGGGAGCGACAUCCUCUGGGUGAAUUGCAUCUCCUGCAAGCGUUGCCCUCGGAAGAGCGACCUCGGUGUUGAGUUGACGUUAUAUGAUCCCAAGGCAUCAGGGAGUGGCAGUUUGGUAUCAUGCCAGGAGAAAUUUUGCGUGUCCACGUAUGGGGACAUUCCUGGCUGCGAGGCUAGUUUGCCGUGCCAGUAUAGUGUGAUAUAUGGUGAUGGGAGUUCCACUUCUGGUUAUUUCGUGACAGACACCAUCCAGUAUAAUCAAGUAUCUGGCAAUCACCAAACAAAACCGGUCAAUGCAAGUGUUACAUUUGGGUGUGGUGCCCAACAAUCUGGGGAUUUGGGUUCAUCAAGUGAAGCACUUGAUGGAAUUCUUGGUUUUGGACAGUCAAAUUCAUCCAUGAUUUCACAGUUAGCUUCUUCUGGAAAAGUGAGCAAGAUAUUUGCUCAUUGUUUAGAUACUAUUAAUGGAGGAGGAAUCUUCACUAUUGGACACGUAGUACAGCCAAAAGUGAAAACAACACCUUUGGUGCCUGAUCAGCCACAUUACAAUGUGAAUUUGAAGGCAAUUGAAGUUGGUGGAGCUUUUCUGCAGCUUCCAACUGAUUUAUUUGACACUGGUGACAAGAAAGGGACUAUAAUUGAUAGUGGUACAACAUUGUCUUAUCUACCAGAGGUUGCCUAUAACGCACUAAUGAAUGCAGUACUCUCUAAUCGUCCAGAUUUGAAUUUCUUCACCAAUCAGGACUUUCGAUGUUUCCGAUACACUGGAAGGAUAUUUAAUUAUCAGAUAAGAAUUAAAGUGUUUGUUCUCGACAUUGAUUACAGUGUGGAUGAUGGAUUCCCGGAAGUUGUUUUUCAUUUUGAGAACUCACUUUUGCUGAAUGUAUAUCCUCAUGAUUAUCUUUUCCAAAAUGGGGAUAAUAUUUACUGUGUUGGUUGGCAAAAUGGUGGGUUACAGUCUAAAGAUGGAAAAGAUAUGUUUCUUUUGGGAGAUCUAGUCCUAUCAAACAAGUUAGUUCUUUAUGAUCUUGAGAACCAAGUCAUUGGAUGGACAGAAUACAACUGAAAUGUGUUGGAUUGAACCUUUGUUCGGGGGAACUUCCAUGGAGUGAACUUGUAUGGCCAACCACAUGAACCAUUUGAUCUUGGCAAUGCAAAGGAUGAGGACUCUUAUUGAUAUAUCAGGAUCUUGAGAUUCCUUGUUAUUGCUCUUCAAUGUCAACUGCUGGAUUGCACCCUUUUGGGCACAUCACUAAAGGCUCCUCGAGCAUCAAGAUUCGGGAUGACAAGAGUGGAGCAAUUUAUACUGUUGAUGCUCAUAACAUUUCUUCUGGCCGAAGAUUGCAGCUGGGGAGGUCCAUUUUGUUGUUGUUGCCAACCCUCCUGUGCUAUUUUAUUUGUUAAUCAGGAACAGCAAAUGCAUCAGUUUAGUGAGUUUGCUUCAUUCAUAUUCUUUUAUAGAAAAUAUGUCAGUAUAUUCUUGCUGU
Musa acuminata AAA Group (dessert banana) is the source of this 1980-nucleotide RNA transcript. It is a transcript of the gene named aspartic proteinase 36, with no coding region annotated. The record is from RefSeq and is a predicted model, not a curated record. Lineage: Eukaryota; Viridiplantae; Streptophyta; Magnoliopsida; Zingiberales; Musaceae. The transcript has 12 exons.